UACGUAGGGUGCGAGCGUUAAUCGGAAUUGCUGGGCGUAAAGGGUGCGCAGGCGGAUUGGCAAGUCAGAGGUGAAAUCUCACGGCUUAACCGUGAAACUGCCUUUGAUACUGCUAAUCUUGAGUUAGGGAGAGGUUGAUGGAAUUCCAGGUGUAGCGGUGAAAUGCGUAGAUAUCUGGAAGAACACCAGUGGCGAAGGCGGUCAACUGGCCCGUAACUGACGCUCAUGCACGAAAGCGUGGGUAGCGAACAGG
RNAcentral lists this ribosomal RNA (253 nucleotides) under uncultured bacterium. Its description in RNAcentral is "partial 16S ribosomal RNA". It matches the Rfam family "Bacterial small subunit ribosomal RNA", at positions 524 to 776 of the family's 1533-position model. The record is from RNAcentral.